Non-coding RNA from Podarcis lilfordi (Lilford's wall lizard), 177 nucleotides. The record is from the annotation of a GenBank genome assembly. NCBI's taxonomy places the organism in Eukaryota, Metazoa, Chordata, Lepidosauria, Squamata, Lacertidae.
CCUGCUUGGCAGGGGGUUGGACUCGAUGGCCCUUGUGGUCUCUUCCAACUCUAUGAUUCUAUGAUUCUAUGAUUCUAUGAUUCUAUGAGAAACAUAGACAAAUAAAUCAUAGAAUUGUAGAACUGUAGAGUUGGAAGGGACUGCCCUCUGCAAGAGUCAAACCCUCUGCAAUGCAGG